Molecule: non-coding RNA, 29 nt
Filed under: Rattus norvegicus (Norway rat)
Lineage: Eukaryota; Metazoa; Chordata; Mammalia; Rodentia; Muridae
Source: RNAcentral
UCCACAGACUUAGAAGUCCUUAGAGCCUC